UUGACCUCAAAUCAGGUAGGACUACC
RNAcentral lists this ribosomal RNA (26 nucleotides) under Fistulina hepatica. Its description in RNAcentral is "partial 25S ribosomal RNA". Lineage: Eukaryota; Fungi; Basidiomycota; Agaricomycetes; Agaricales; Fistulinaceae. RNAcentral also lists the same sequence under 9 other names. The record is from RNAcentral.